RNAcentral lists this ribosomal RNA (497 nucleotides) under uncultured bacterium. Its description in RNAcentral is "partial 16S ribosomal RNA". It matches the Rfam family "Bacterial small subunit ribosomal RNA", at positions 28 to 507 of the family's 1533-position model. The record is from RNAcentral.
GAUGAACGCUGGCGGCGUGCCUAAUACAUGCAAGUCGAGCGAACGGACGAGAAGCUUGCUUCUCUGAUGUUAGCGGCGGACGGGUGAGUAACACGUGGAUAACCUACCUAUAAGACUGGGAUAACUUCGGGAAACCGGAGCUAAUACCGGAUAAUAUUUUGAACCGCAUGGUUCAAAAGUAAAAGACGGUCUUGCUGUCACUUAUAGAUGGAUCCGCGCUGCAUUAGCUAGUUGGUAAGGUAACGGCUUACCAAUGCAACGAUGCAUAGCCGACCUGAGAGGGUGAUCGGCCACACUGGAACUGAGACACGGUCCAGACUCCUACGGGAGGCAGCAGUAGGGAAUCUUCCGCAAUGGGCGAAAGCCUGACGGAGAAACGCCGCGUGAGUGAUGAAGGUCUUCGGAUCGUAAAACUCUGUUAUUAGGGAAGAACAUAUGUGUAAGUAACUGUGCACAUCUUGACGGUACCUAAUCAGAAAGCCACGGCUAACUACGUG